AGGCGCCUGUCUGUCAUUGCCCUUCCCGUAAUGUCCUGCUCCAGAGAAACCAGGAGCUGGGAGAAAUCUUCCCUGUCCCACGGAACGCCCCCAGUGCUUGUUCCUAAGGGGACAAGACCCCCAGACCUCCCAUUCAGAGGCCUGCUGCCUCAACACCCAUGUGGCACCCGCCCAAGCUGAAGGAUAAUAAAGAGAGAAAGACAGAAAAGGAAAGGACCCAAGCCUGCAAGAGGGAAUGGAGAGGAGAUGCCGGCCAGGGGGCUGUGGGAGCCCAAUAGAUUUCUCUGGAACACCAAUAAAUUUUAAAACAAACCCAGAAAGCUAAAGACAGCCCCUGGAAAGUGCUGGGAAAAUGGACCAUCGAUUUUAGACUUC
Molecule: long non-coding RNA, 375 nt
Organism: Peromyscus leucopus (white-footed mouse)
Lineage: Eukaryota; Metazoa; Chordata; Mammalia; Rodentia; Cricetidae
Exons: 3
Source: RefSeq, a predicted model, not a curated record